AUUGGACCCGUGGGUAGGGUCCGGGUCCUUCUUAAUGGACCCAAUGAUUUUCGGGUAUGGGUCCGUGUACUAGUGGAUCCGCCCCAUACCCGACCUGAGACCUGAACUUUUCCACCUCUUUAAAAAGCUACCCUUCAUUUUAUAACAAACUCCCUCACAUUACCUUUCUAAAUCUUUGUAUGUCUGACUAAGUUUUGUUGAAAGAGCCUACUAGUCAAGAAACAAUCAAAAGGAAUCUUUUUAAGCAAGGGAAGGGGGUAGGCUGGCAAGCCUGACCUAAAAGUGAGCUCCAACCAUUGGCUAUCGGAUCCACGUGUGCAGCUGCGAUUAGGCUAAGGCAUUGCCUACGUGCAAAAGUGACCCUUUUCCAAGAAGCAUAAAGAGAGGGAGGCUGUUGUCUACUAAGAUUAGUCCCACACCGAUGGGAAUAGAAAGAAAUAAGUAAGUUGAGUUCUAUAAAAGCAGACGUAUUGGGGUGCUUCAAGCAAAGACGCAGCCUAUUUCCAAACUUUUUUAUUGGCUAAUGUCGGGGAUGGGUCCGGGUCUCGGUUCCAAAAGUGCCCAUAGGGUACAGGUACGGGUAUAUUAAAUUUAGACCUGUUGGGUCCUGG
RNAcentral lists this long non-coding RNA (611 nucleotides) under Amborella trichopoda. RNAcentral's name for it is "long non-coding RNA (ATRI_LNC003898)". The record is from RNAcentral. Lineage: Eukaryota; Viridiplantae; Streptophyta; Magnoliopsida; Amborellales; Amborellaceae.